RNAcentral lists this long non-coding RNA (9050 nucleotides) under Theobroma cacao (cacao). RNAcentral describes it as "long non-coding RNA (TCAC_LNC005917)". The record is from RNAcentral. Lineage: Eukaryota; Viridiplantae; Streptophyta; Magnoliopsida; Malvales; Malvaceae.
UCUCUCUCUCUCUCUAAUGAAAUAGAUUCUAAAUUUGAUAUGACAAUACUCAAAUAUGAGAUUUCAAGAUAUUAAGUAAACUCAAGGCCUUUGUUUUUGUUGGCAUAGAUCUGAUGUAUUUGAGGUUUCAUAGAUUUUUUGUUUUCUAUUUUUAAGCAAGAGAUUCCAUAGAUUUGAUAUCAUCCUGGUUCAGAUUUCAAAAUGAUCUAUUAGCCUUCUCGGUGGUUUCCGCUUUCUACUACUAGAUCAGCAAUUUUGAUAACAUUGCUACUCAAAAGGCUAUUUAACUGCUGAAAUCUGGUCUAAUACUUUAUUGGUUCUUGCGCUUAUCAGGAUGUUGAUUGGUUUUGGCCAUAGUUUCUAUGUAGCUAUCUGAGUUGGCAAGGUCGAUAGUUUCCAGUUUAACUGGUUGAACUAGCCAAUCCUAUCAGGUCUUGUUUUUAAAAUGCUGGUUUCUUUAUAUGUUGGUUAAUUCACCAUGGACCAAAUCUGGAAUCUCAGUUAAGUGUCUUUUGAAUGUGAGUUGAUGUAAUGUUUCAGAUGGGUGAACUAGAAUGAAGUUGGAAUAAUAGAGAGGAAGAUUGGAGCAUACUAUAGAGUGUGAACUGUCAUGGAAGGUUGAAGAAGUUGGAAGCUAUGGUUUGUAAGGGGAGAACAUAAAGCAAGUUGUUUUGUCUUUAGCAAGGCGAGGCAUAAGCCUCAAAGCAUCAAGGCAAGCGUCUGUUUUUUUUUUUUUUUGUGAUAGUAUGUGUUGUAAGCCUUUUGAUUAUUUAUUGUUAAUAAAAUUCAAAACAUCUAACUAAAUAUUACUAAAUAAUAAAUAAUAACUAUGAUGACCUUUAUGAGAUAAACAUAAAAAUAUGAAGAAUAUCUUGUGAAAUAAUGUAGCAUGGUCUUGUCACUAUUCAUAUAAAUGAAGCAGUUGCAUUUUGUGUAAAUGUUGAAUUUUUAAACCUCAAGGUUAUUUGUGUUUGCUUUGCACAAAGAUGUGCCUCAUCAAUGCCUUUAAAAACAGGGGUUGGAAGUGCGAUUCGAGCCAGAGGUGAGAUAUAAGAGUGGAAAAGUGGAGUGUUGGAAGUUGGAACUCAAGAAUGUGAAUUGGAACUUGGACAAAAAUCUGAGGAAUGUGGAGCCUUAUUUGGAGACUUGCUAAACCUCCCCAAAAAUGACUCUCACUAGCUAUAAAUAUAGGCUAGGAUGUAGUUAAUAUCACCGAAGGGAAACUGUCAGCUCAUAUCUCAUUUAGGGAAUUCUUGGUGAAUUCCCUGGUGACUAGUUAUGAUAGUAAACUUGUUCUAGGCAAUGUGAGGUAAUGCCAUGUGUAAAAAGGGUGUAUGGAAGUGGGCACCAUGACUCCAAGGAAAGGUUAAAGGUGGGAAACUAACUCCAUUUCCAAGCAAUCAAACUGAGCUCUCUAGACCCAAUACAUGGAAUUAACUUAGGGAUCCUACUUCUUCUGGUCGUUUAAGUACAUGAAUCCAUGUACAUCCAAAUGAUAGUGCAAGUUUCUACAAGACAAACUUAGAAGAAGUAUAAAUUGUUCAUUCAUAAUUGCCAACUUACAGAAAUCUACAGAUCAUUGCCUUUCAUAAUAAUGUACCUACCUUUUCCAUCCCUUAUGGAGAACUAUCAACUCUACUUAAAUAUGCUGCAGCUUGAGAAAAAUUGCAUUGGCUAGGAGCUUUCUCAUAGUUCUAGAGAUGGGGUAAAUUUUUGCAGUUCAGUUUUGUCGGAAGAAGAGAGACACCGCGAACAACAUAUGGUCAUUUGGAAGGUGAAGGAAAGCUAAAAUCAAGGAACUUAGAUGGCUGUUUCUGUCGUCUCUUGGCAUUUUAUUUGAAUGUUCAGUGUUCUGAUGCUUCUUGCAUUUGUAGUCAAAUGAUGCAGGAGUGCAUGUUUUAAAAAAAUAUCGCCUUCUUUCAUUGCAGUGCUCCAUCCUAUUGUUUACUCCAUACUUCUCAAGGCUAAUACUGCAAAUUCACCUUCAACCUCAAGAGUUUGUAACAGGUUUGGUAAUAGAAUUUAGUUUAUCUUAUAGUUUAUUCAAGGAAGAUUUCUUGCUCUCUUGAUCUUAUCAUUUGAAAAAAUUGAACUUGAGAAAAUGAAUUAUUUAUCAGAUGUCUGUUAUUCUCUGAUUCUAAAUUUUGCAAAUGACCUAAGGUUUUUUUAUAUUUGUUGAAAUGGUUGGAAAUGUCUCUAGGUGAUGGACACUGAGUUCAAAUAGAAUUGCUGAUGUUCCUUCUGGCAUGUACCAUUUUGAAAUUAUCCAUCCAGUUUUUCUUUUUUCAUGUUGUAGCAACUUUGUGAAGGAUCCUUACUACCUUUUGACAAGUAAUGCUGAAUUUAGUGAAAAACAAAAGCACUAGUUUGUUGUUAUUGUUGUGAUUAUAAGCUCAUUUUUCUGUUCUUAUUUUAUCUGCAGGACUGGCCAUAUUUAACUGUAUGCCAACUACAUUAUCAAGUGGAGUGGCACUUACUCAGGCAUGCUUGCUAGUUGUUUUCUAAACCCUUUUCUUAAUGUCUUUGACUUUUUGCUUAAAAGAAUGUCUGUGUUUCUCCAAUGCAGCUUGCUGGGGGGAACUCUGCACUUGCUCUUGCAAUGACAGUGAUGUCUAAUAUGAUAGGAAUUUUGAUUGUAAGUUAUACGUAAAAAGGUGUAUGAUUAAUAUUCUGUUAAUUUUUAGCUUUGCUAUUGGAAUUGGUUGGAUGUUUGAUAUAUCUUUGCUCCCAUUUUACCUCUCUAUAUGAAUAUUUUAUUGUUCUCUAAUACUGGUGUUAAUCUUUUAUUUUCUGAUGUCUACUUUCUGCACAUCAUUUCGUUGUAUCAAUCACCCUAAUUUUUAUGUAAUUUGAAUGUAAUAUAUUUCUAUUGUUGAUUGAGGAGAAAUAUGAAGUGUAAGAAUCUAAUGAAAAUAUAUUUCUGUUAUAUUAAGUGAAAUUUGUAAUGUCAUAGAAGUAUGAUUAUCUACCAUCAAUUAAACUUAUGGUUUGUGAGAAUUAAAAGGAUAUUAUUUAUAUAAGAGUGGAACUAAUGGGAAAUAUUUUUUUAGUAAGAUGUCUUUAAAUUAGUUCUGCUUUAUGGUUGAAAUUUGGGCAAUUAAAUACAUUAUUGUGAAAUGAUUGUUCAAAAUGAGAAUAUGAUGAUAUUGGGAAACAUAAAAUAAGAAAUGAAUGAAUUCAAAAUGGGUAAAAAUGACACUAAUGGAGGAUAAAUUCAGAGAGGAGUGCUCUCUAAAUAGUUUGGUCAUAUUCACCAUAAGUUUCCGGAAAUGCUGAUUCACAAAGUGAUGUAACACUAACAGAAGGAUUGCUAAUGUAUACAACUAUAAUUGAAAUUUUUUUGUAUUGCAGUGAUAAAAGGUUUUUUGUUUUAGCAUAUUGCGAAGAGCAUUGUCUUCAAGAAAGCAGAAAGGAGAUCUAUUUAAGUUGUUUAAAAUUAAUGUUUGGUUUGGUUAUCUUUUAAGUUUUAAAUCAUUGUGUACAGCUAAAGUGAGAAAAAUGAUAGUCUUAGGAUUAGAACCUUUUUUCCUUUCUUUUACCCUUUUAAAUCAACUUAUGUUAAAUUAUAAUCCAAUAAAGUUAUAGUCUCCAGGGGAAUACCCCAGCAGUCAAGAACCUGAGUGUGUAACUUGGAGGUCAUGGGUUUGGAUCCUUGAAGGGGAGGAGUGGGAUUUGUGAAAUGGGAGAGAGCCGAACAUCUAUGUACCAAAAAAGAAAUUUGAAUGAAGUUACUAAGUUGUCUCAUAUUCCCUCUCUCAUGUGCACACACAUGCAUAGCGUGUAUUCAAAUGUGUUUGAUGUAUUGACCUCAAAUUUUUUUUAAAAGAAAAAUUAAAUGAGCAUAUUUUCUAAUUUAUAUCAUUUUCAGAUUCCAUUUUCAAUCUCAAAAUUCAUAGCUGAUGGAGUUGGCGUAUCUGUUCCAACUGCACAACUGCUUAGAAGUCUUGUUCUCACACUUUUGAUUCCUCUGAUCUUGGGGAAGGUAAUAUUUCCAUUGAUUUUAACCUGGAAAGAAGAAAAUCUUCUGGUAUCUCUAAUUUAGAAAGAAGUGGUUGUUUGCUGUAUGAAAACUAUUUCCUUUUACAAACUUUUCAGUUUUUUGGCGGAAGUGUAAGUUAUCUUCUUGUUAUUGCAAGAAAACAUUUAAAGUAGGCAUUUAUUGAAGUCUUCCUAGAAUAUAUUCCUGACUCUUUUACAUGAAGUACUUGAGUACCUUAGUUCAAUAUUGUUCUUUUGUGAUUUUCCAUUCACCAUGUUUUUACUGGUUUUAAACUUCCACAGCAUACAAAAUGGUUGACUUCUGAUACAUAAACUGGUUCUCCAAAUCGUUUUAGUAUACCCUUCCUAUAGCCUUUUAUUGUUUUUAACUGUAAUUGUGCCUUCUAAUUACAGGUGUUACGAGAAUCCUUCAGAGGUGAGUCUCUCUUCCUUGGCCAACUGUUUCCCCCUUUCAUUUCCCUUUGUAAGCAAGUUCUGCUGAAGAUUAAUGCUAAGGCAUCCAUGUUUCAGAAUACUUAAGCUAACGUACCAAUCUUCAUGGCUCCUUCAUACUCUAAGGUUUCAAUUGCAUGAAAUAAUAGGAUGGCUUAUUGGAAUAUAUAGGCUGGCAUUGAUAAUGUGUUUUUGCUAUGAUAGUGACCAUGGUCAAUACCUUUAAUUCUGGUAUCAGUUUCAGUCUUAGUUGAUGUGCAUCUUCUUGUACAAAACUUAAAAAUUUAAAGUCAAAAUGUUAAUGGAAGCAAGGUAUUCAAAAUUAUUCAAGAAUCAAAUUCUGUAGGCUGAAAAUGGAAUCCCAUCAAUACAGGAUUUGGAAGAUCAGAUUGAAAGAAAGAAUAGAUGUUAUUUACCAAUUCACAUCUCAACAUGAUUCAAUGUGUAAUGCAGGCUUGGCAGACUAUGUUGACCAUAAUCGUAAGCUAUAUUCAAGGAUCAGUGCAGUCUUCCUCAGCUUAGUAUGGCCUCAAACUUUGGAUCUUUUUAGUUUUAUUUUACCUAUGAUAUUGUAACAUCAAGUAAAUAUAACUUUUGCUUUUACCAUGGCAAAGAAUUACUCUCUUUUCGUUUAGAGUUUACACUGGCAGUUCAGAAGUUCUGUUAUGUUCAAGUUUCAACCUAACAUUCUGUUGCUCUACUGAAAUUUGAGACUUGUGAUCUUUCAAAUUAUGCCAAUGAGAAUAGGUUAACUAAAGAGUCGAAUUCAGUAAUUACACUUGGCACCUUGUAUGUUUCCGGGCCUACAAAUGUUUUCAGAUAAAACUGUUUUCUUCUUUGUAAUGGUACUUGCCCUGACUAUAAGUAAAAGAUUCAGCGCAGGCUGCCCUAGCAGGUGAUUUACUGAGCAAAUUGGUCAGCACUGACUGCUUUGAAUUGAACAUUUCCUCAACCCCUCUUUGAUGGUACUAUUUAUCAUAGAUCUAAUGCCAUGGCUAUCCUUUUGCUAACCAUGUAAGAAUUUGGUUUAUCAGUAAAUUUUUUUUAAUAAAAAUAAUUAUUUGUCCAACUGUAUACUGAUUUUGACUAGUUGAGACACCAUGGAGAUUUCUUAUCUGUUGGAGGACUAUAUCCUAAAUGCUAUAAUAACAUUUUACAUCACGUAUUCAAGGAUCUGUAGUGGCUAAUUUUCACAUCUUGCUUCUAAGCUCUGUUUCUUUACUUCCAGUAGUCCUUCCUUUCAAACCCUCUCAUUUCCAUUCUUAGCUCCUUAGCUACUUCUAUAGAAACUUUUUUAGUUUUAGUUCACUUAUCCAUUCUUAAUCUUUAAACUGAUAUCACAUUUCUUUAAGUUCUUGAGAGUUAAUCUAUCCAUUAGUACAAGUUCUAACAUUUAAAAAGUAAUAAUGUCAGAAUAAUUAAGUUUAUAUGUAUACUUUUUUUUUUUUUAUUAAUUGGGGGAGGGGGGNNNNNNNNNNNNNNNNNNNNNNNNNNNNNNNNNNNNNNNNNNNNNNNNNNNNNNNNNNNNNNNNNNNNNNNNNNNNNNNNNNNNNNNNNNNNNNNNNNNNNNNNNNNNNNNNNNNNNNNNNNNNNNNNNNNNNNNNNNNNNNNNNNNNNNNNNNNNNNNNNNNNNNNNNNNNNNNNNNNNNNNNNNNNNNNNNNNNNUUAUGUUACUUUUUUUUUUUUUUUAUAAUUGUGGGAGGGGGAUUCGAACCCUGCUCUUAAAGCAGGGGAAUUAUGCGCCAACCAAUGAGCCAAAUGCUCAGGUGCAAUUUAUACGUAUACUUAUGCUGUUCAAAUUUUUUUUUUCUAGAAAUAGAAUAUUGAAAUGAAUUUUUAAGGCAACUAUGAAUGGAAAGAAGAGCUAGAUUCUAUAAUGCAGUAUGGAAAGAAGCUAAUAGAGUAUUUAAACUAUUUAAGAUUUUAUUUUCUUCUUGUUGAAUUUAUGAGUGCCUUAAUUGUAUUUUUCUAUUGUAAUUUAGAAUUUAUAUUAUUUAGGCUAUUUCUUAUUAAUUAGUAUUUAGCUUAUUUGUAAAGAAUUAGAUGCUUGGAAUUAUAUGGUUAUUUUGCAAUUUUAUUAGGGUUUUAGGGUUUAAUUUAUUAAUACCUUUGUUAAAGUGCUAAUUGUAAGUUGUGCUAAAAAUGAUGAUGUUUAUAAGCCUUUGAUAGGAUACAUGAACUUUUAAUCAGUUUGAAUGAUAUAGUUAAAGUCUAUGCCUGUUUUUAUUUACUUAAAAUUGGCACAGUCCAUCCAAAAUCUUAUGUAGGUGUACAACUAACAGCAGAAUUAUACAAGUAGAGACAGAUGCUUUGAAUGAGAUGUGAGAGUGCAAACAAAGCAAAAAGACAUUUAGAUAGUACAGUUGAGAUUUUAAUUAUGAUUUUAUUUUUAUUUUAGGAAGAAGUGUAGCCGAAGUUUAUUGCAUGCAUUGUCAAGAUGUACGGUUUAUCUGAUAGUAAGCUAUAUGUUUGUGCAGGGUUGUUUUGGUUCUAAAUUGCAUUCUGUGCCAAUUGUGCAUGUGCAAUGACAUUUUUCAUAUUACACAAUGUUAUAAUAUUCUAUAAGUAGAAAUCAAGCCCGUUUUCAUACUAUGUCAAGUAGCAAAAAAUUUCAUGUUUUUCAAUAUUUUCUUAUGUCAUUUCCUUUAUAUUUAAAUUUAAAUUUUCCUUUUUAUCCAAAGCUUAAGGUUUUUACUGUUUCUAUGAAACAUGUCUGAAGUUUACAUAUGAUUCUUAUAGGAACAAAUGCAGCAACUUUGAAUGCCAUUUUUGUUUUACUUACAUUAUGUUUCAAAACUAUCAUGGUUGGCUAGGUGCCAUGGAUACAAGUGAGCAGGUCAAGGUCGCUGCUUCUGAUGGUUAAGCCCACUGUUUUUAUUGUAGCUAUUGGAAUAGGAGCGUAUGUUCACUCUUCACUUUGUUUUAUAUUUCCAGUUCAACACUAACUGUAAGGUACAGGGAAGUUAUGAAAACUGUCAUGCAUCUGAUCUAAGACCUAAGAUCCUAGUGUAAAAGAAAAUGAUCAGAGACCUAAUAGUAUGGAAACUAGCUAAUCUGUGAACAUUUUACGCUAAUUGUCAUCAUACGGUGUCAGCUGAUGUUCUUGCCAAGGACCAGUCUAUUGCAUGUGAAUAAGGUGAUAUCAUGGUAGACUUUCAUGUUUCAUAUUCUGUUGUUUGGCAUAGUUUGCCUGCUAUUGUUUUAUCCUAGAUCGCAAUUGAGUUGGUCCUGGGUCGUUCAUUGAGAACGGUCUUGGUGCUGUUCUGAAUUGCAAGCAAUUUUAGCAUUGACCUACAUCAUAGCGGUCGAUGUAUUCACAUGGGUUUACAUUACAAGUUCUGAAGAAACUAAUAUUCACAUCCAUUGUUUUUCCAUUUGCUAUAGCCAAUCAUACGAGUCUUACCCAUUUUUUCUUUUAGAAUUAGUCCAAGAUGUUGUGACUACAGUUGUGUACAUCUUAGGUCACACUGGCAGAGAAAAGAUGAAAAAUUGAUGCACCUGUUAUUUAUAAUUUCCAUAUUAAUUAUCUUAUACACUUUGAUGGAGUUGCAUCUACUUAUUGAAGGAAUCCUUAAUUUAUUGCAGGCUUUUACACCUCAUAUUGUUAGCUUUUAAUACUCUCGCUAUAAGGAGCCUCUCAGCUGUCACUGGUGGUAGUGAAUCAAUUUUUGCCAAGAAAGAAAAUGCCCAAGCAGCUUUGCUUGUUGCAAGCCAGGUGGCUAUCUAUUGAGCUAGCUACACAAAAUUUUCUCCUCUAAAAAGCAUUUUCUGCUAUCAUCCACUUAUGAAACUUUCUCAAACGCCCUUGUUUAUUUGGUAUAAUUCUUUUGUCCUGACCCCUGCCACUAUGCUUUGUAGAAAACUCUGCCUGUAAUGGUGGCAGUUGUGGAGCAACUUGGUGGUGCAUUUGGUGAAUCUGGUUUACUGGUUUUACCCUGUGUUGCUGCACAUAUAAUUCAGGUUAUAUCAUCAUCUCCCAGCUUUCUAUUGCUUUUAAUGUCAUUGUUUUUGACAUUAGUGUUAUUUAUGUAGAUUAUCUUGGAUUCCUUCCUUGUUAACUUCUGGCUUCGAAUGGAUCUCCCAUCGAACACUGCCAAGGUAGCCUGAGAUGUACACCCUUCAUGAUCUUUGAAACAGCAUUUAUUCUUUGUACACACAAUUCUUUUCUGCUUAACAUUGAUUCAAAUUAAACUUUGAGAAAUUAUUGAAUCAUCUCAAAAUGGUUUAGAUAUUGUUGUCCCUCCACUUUUCAUUUGCCGAUACCAGUUGUUUCUGUUCUCCAAAUGAACUAAUGCCUGUAUCUGCAGAGUUACUGUAAACGUUUUGCUCAUCCCUUAAUGUAUAGUAGAACCUCUCUCUCUGUGGUUUGAGGACGUGAAUGGAAAUGAAAGGCAAAGCUGGGGGAGGAAAAAGCAUGUAUGUCUAAAAAGGUAAAAGAGGAUAAGGUCUCUGAUCCAUUGGUUUAAAGUAAUAUUUUCUUGGGAGUGAAAUGGGCUGGGCAACUCCAAACCAAUGGAUAGGGCCCCUGAUCCGUUGGUUGAACUAUCUUGUUCUUGGGACAGAAAUGGCCGAACAACCUUGGCAAAUGGAGAUAGCAUAUGGUAUUUGUAAAUAAUUCG